RNAcentral lists this ribosomal RNA (254 nucleotides) under uncultured bacterium. RNAcentral's name for it is "partial 16S ribosomal RNA". It matches the Rfam family "Bacterial small subunit ribosomal RNA", at positions 524 to 776 of the family's 1533-position model. The record is from RNAcentral.
UACGUAGGGUCCGAGCGUUGUCCGGAAUUAUUGGGCGUAAAGAGCUCGUAGGCGGUUUGUCGCGUCUGCCGUGAAAGUCCGGGGCUCAACUCCGGAUCUGCGGUGGGUACGGGCAGACUAGAGUGAUGUAGGGGGAGACUGGAAUUCCUGGUGUAGCGGUGAAAUGCGCAGAUAUCAGGAGGAACACCGAUGGCGAAGGCAGGUCUCUGGGCAUUAACUGACGCUGAGGAGCGAAAGCAUGGGGAGCGAACAGG